GAUCCUGGCUCAGGAUGAACGCUAGCUACAGGCUUAACACAUGCAAGUCGAGGGGCAGCAUGAACUUAGCUUGCUAAGUUUGAUGGCGACCGGCGCACGGGUGAGUAACACGUAUCCAACCUGCCGAUGACUCGGGAUAGCCUUUACGAAAGAAAGAUUAAUACCCGAUGGCAUAGUUCUUCCGCAUGGUAGAACUAUUAAAGGAUUUCGGUCAUCGAUGGGGAUGCGUUCCAUUUAGGG
This 240-nucleotide ribosomal RNA is filed under the name uncultured bacterium. RNAcentral's name for it is "partial 16S ribosomal RNA". It matches the Rfam family "Bacterial small subunit ribosomal RNA", at positions 15 to 246 of the family's 1533-position model. The record is from RNAcentral.